Molecule: ribosomal RNA, 410 nt
Filed under: uncultured microorganism
Description: bacterial SSU rRNA
Rfam family: Bacterial small subunit ribosomal RNA
Source: RNAcentral
CAGCCGCCUCGGUAAUACGUAGGGGGCGAGCGUUGUCCGGAAUUAUUGGGCGUAAAGCGCGCGCAGGCGGUCCCUUAAGUCUGAUGUGAAAGCCCACGGCUCAACCGUGGAGGGUCAUUGGAAACUGGGGGACUUGAGUGCAGAAGAGGAGAGCGGAAUUCCACGUGUAGCGGUGAAAUGCGUAGAGAUGUGGAGGAACACCAGUGGCGAAGGCGGCUCUCUGGUCUGUAACUGACGCUGAGGCGCGAAAGCGUGGGGAGCAAACAGGAUUAGAUACCCUGGUAGUCCACGCCGUAAACGAUGAGUGCUAAGUGUUAGAGGGGUUAAACCCUUUAGUGCUGUAGCUAACGCGUUAAGCACUCCGCCUGGGGAGUACGGCCGCAAGGCUGAAACUUAAAGGAAUUGGCGGG